This 1515-nucleotide ribosomal RNA is filed under the name Aeromonas enteropelogenes. Its description in RNAcentral is "partial 23S ribosomal RNA". It matches the Rfam family "Bacterial large subunit ribosomal RNA", at positions 1 to 1573 of the family's 2925-position model. The record is from RNAcentral. Lineage: Bacteria; Pseudomonadati; Pseudomonadota; Gammaproteobacteria; Aeromonadales; Aeromonadaceae.
GGUUAAGUGACUAAGCGUACAUGGUGGAUGCCUUGGCAGUCAGAGGCGAUGAAGGACGUACUAACCUGCGAUAAGCCGUGAGCAGUCGGUAAGAGACAUUACGACUCACGGAUUUCCGAAUGGGGAAACCCACCCGAGACAACUCGGGUAUCUGUUACUGAAUACAUAGGUAACAGAGGCGAACCGGGAGAACUGAAACAUCUAAGUACCCCGAGGAAAAGAAAUCAACCGAGAUUCCCUCAGUAGCGGCGAGCGAACGGGGAUUAGCCCUUAAGCAUCUUGGAAGUUAGUGGAACGGUCCUGGAAAGGCCGGCGAUACAGGGUGAUAGCCCCGUACACGAAAACAACCUUGAUGUGAAAUCGAGUAGGGCGGGACACGUGACAUCCUGUCUGAAUAUGGGGGGACCAUCCUCCAAGGCUAAAUACUCCUGACUGACCGAUAGUGAACCAGUACCGUGAGGGAAAGGCGAAAAGAACCCCUGUGAGGGGAGUGAAAUAGAACCUGAAACCGUGUACGUACAAGCAGUGGGAGCCCUUCGGGGUGACUGCGUACCUUUUGUAUAAUGGGUCAGCGACUUACAUUUUGUAGCGAGGUUAACCGUAUAGGGGAGCCGUAGGGAAACCGAGUCUUAACUGGGCGUCUAGUUGCAAGGUGUAGACCCGAAACCGGGUGAUCUAGCCAUGGGCAGGUUGAAGGUUGAGUAACAUCAACUGGAGGACCGAACCCACUAACGUUGCAAAGUUAGGGGAUGACCUGUGGCUGGGGGUGAAAGGCCAAUCAAACUCGGAGAUAGCUGGUUCUCCCCGAAAGCUAUUUAGGUAGCGCCUCGGACGAAUACUACUGGGGGUAGAGCACUGUUUGGGCUAGGGGGUCAUCCCGACUUACCAACCCCAUGCAAACUCCGAAUACCAGUAAGUACUAUCCGGGAGACACACGGCGGGUGCUAACGUCCGUCGUGAAGAGGGAAACAACCCAGACCGCCGGCUAAGGUCCCAAAGUUCUGGUUAAGUGGGAAACGAUGUGGGAAGGCUCAGACAGCUAGGAUGUUGGCUUAGAAGCAGCCAUCAUUUAAAGAAAGCGUAAUAGCUCACUAGUCGAGUCGGCCUGCGCGGAAGAUGUAACGGGGCUCAAACCAGGCACCGAAGCCGCGGAUUCACGCUAAGCGUGAGUGGUAGGGGAGCGUUCUGUAAGUCUGCGAAGGUGUGUCGAGAGGCAUGCUGGAGAUAUCAGAAGUGCGAAUGCUGACGUAAGUAACGAUAAAGGGGGUGAAAAGCCUCCUCGCCGGAAGACCAAGGGUUCCUGUCCAACGUUAAUCGGGGCAGGGUGAGUCGACCCCUAAGGCGAGGCCGAAAGGCGUAGUCGAUGGGAAGCAGGUUAAUAUUCCUGCACGACUUGUAAUUGCGAUGGGGGGACGGAGAAGGCUAGGUGGGCCAGGCGACGGUUGUCCUGGUGAAAGUGCGUAGGCGGUACCUUUAGGUAAAUCCGGAGGUGCAACGCUGAGACACGAGACGAAC